This 328-nucleotide ribosomal RNA is filed under the name uncultured eukaryote. RNAcentral describes it as "partial 18S ribosomal RNA". It matches the Rfam family "Eukaryotic small subunit ribosomal RNA", at positions 1470 to 1796 of the family's 1831-position model. The record is from RNAcentral.
CCCUUAGAUGUCCUGGGCCGCACGCGCGUUACACUGAUGCAUUCAACGAGCUUAUAACCUUGGCCGAGAGGCCUGGGCAAUCUUGUUAACGUGCAUCGUGAUAGGGAUAGGUUAUUGAAAUUAUUAAUCUUGAACGAGGAAUUCCUAGUAAACGCAGAUCAUCAAUCUGCAUUGAUUACGUCCCUGCCCUUUGUACACACCGCCCGUCGCACCUACCGAUUGGAUGGUCCGGUGAAGCCUCGGGAUUGUGGUUCUUGCCGCUUUAUUGUGGCGUGACCGCGAGAACUUGUCUAAACCUUAUCAUCUAGAGGAAGGUGAAGUCGUAACA